This 251-nucleotide ribosomal RNA is filed under the name uncultured Rhodocista sp. RNAcentral's name for it is "partial 16S ribosomal RNA". It matches the Rfam family "Bacterial small subunit ribosomal RNA", at positions 90 to 354 of the family's 1533-position model. The record is from RNAcentral. Lineage: Bacteria; Pseudomonadati; Pseudomonadota; Alphaproteobacteria; Rhodospirillales; Azospirillaceae.
ACACGAGAGCGGACGGCUGAGUAACGCGUGGGAACGCACCCUACACUGAGGGAUAAGAUACCGAAAGGUGUUCUAAUACCGCAUACGGUCUUCGGAUUAAAGUCUUCGGACGGUGAAGGAGCGGCCCGCGUCAUAUUAGGUAGUUGGUGGGGGUAAUGGCCUACCAAGCCGAUGAUGUGUAGCUGGUCUGAGAGGAUGAUCAGCCAGACUGGAACUGAGAACGGUCCAGACUCCUACGGGAGGCAGCAGGG